RNAcentral lists this ribosomal RNA (301 nucleotides) under uncultured bacterium. RNAcentral describes it as "partial 16S ribosomal RNA". It matches the Rfam family "Bacterial small subunit ribosomal RNA", at positions 509 to 809 of the family's 1533-position model. The record is from RNAcentral.
CAGCCGCCGCGGGAAUACGGAGGGUGCAAGCGUUAAUCGGGAUUACUGGGCGUAAAGCGCACGCAGGCGGUUUGUUAAGUCAGAUGUGAAAUCCCCGAGCUUAACUUGGGAACUGCAUUUGAAACUGGCAAGCUAGAGUCUUGUAGAGGGGGGUAGAAUUCCAGGUGUAGCGGUGAAAUGCGUAGAGAUCUGGAGGAAUACCGGUGGCGAAGGCGGCCCCCUGGACAAAGACUGACGCUCAGGUGCGAAAGCGUGGGGAGCAAACAGGAUUAGAUACCCCAGUAGUCCCUGUCUCUUAUAA